This 506-nucleotide long non-coding RNA is filed under the name Ananas comosus (pineapple). Its description in RNAcentral is "long non-coding RNA (ACOM_LNC037282)". Lineage: Eukaryota; Viridiplantae; Streptophyta; Magnoliopsida; Poales; Bromeliaceae. The record is from RNAcentral.
AAACAAUUGAAUUAGUAUUAGACCGAGACUCCUAUAUGUUAUAUAUUUAUAUAUAACUUAAUGUAAUAAUAUUAAAUCACGUCCGCCAUCAAGGACAUGUCCAGAUACAUCAUAACCGUAAGAUCUACCGUAUCUUUAUAGGUGAACUUAAAUAGAUUGACUGUAUUUUUAUGAAUCGCCUUAAAUAUAUCAGUGGGGCACAUCCAACAUUCUCCCACUUGGCCUAAAAAUAUAUUCAUUACCGUAUAGGGGAUACAAAACUUUAUUAGGUACCAACUAAGUUAUACAGUCAAAAUCUCCCACUCGACUAAGAAAUCACAAUACUUUGAUCACACCGGUUAUGCCCCAAAAUAUUAACACUUCCUUCCAUGUAUCAAAAACACGAAUUCCUUAAUCAAAUAACUUUAUGAGUUACAACCGUAUGAACUUAUUAUAAGUUCAACUCAGAGUCCCACUUUAGUGCACAAUAAUAUUUUAAUGUACAAAAGAUAACUUUAUGCGCAUAU